This is a long non-coding RNA of Alosa alosa (allis shad), 263 nucleotides long. RefSeq lists it as uncharacterized. The record is from RefSeq and is a predicted model, not a curated record. NCBI's taxonomy places the organism in Eukaryota, Metazoa, Chordata, Actinopteri, Clupeiformes, Clupeidae. The transcript is spliced from 3 exons.
GAAGCUCAGAUUAAGUAAUAUAAUUCAUCAAUAUUCAUUUGAUUUUUCCCCAAGGAGCCGAUGCACUCAGGCCUUUCACACUUCAUUAACAGGGUGCGGCCUCAGUUGGCUUGUUCCACUAAUGUACCAGGAGAUUGCCUGUCAGAAUCUCUCCAACUCCUCAAAUGGAUCUUCACCAUCCACCUCCACCUCCCAGUAUAAAACACAGCUAAGCAGAAGAGUGGCACCACAGUCCACAUACGAGAGGUGGACAGCAUCUUCUC